UCACAUAACUUCUGCGGUGCUAGGAUAGC
This 29-nucleotide non-coding RNA is filed under the name Bombyx mori (domestic silkworm). The record is from RNAcentral. Lineage: Eukaryota; Metazoa; Arthropoda; Insecta; Lepidoptera; Bombycidae.